Molecule: long non-coding RNA, 274 nt
Organism: Mesocricetus auratus (golden hamster)
Lineage: Eukaryota; Metazoa; Chordata; Mammalia; Rodentia; Cricetidae
Exons: 2
Source: RefSeq, a predicted model, not a curated record
GACACAGGCCGCGCAGCAGUCGUGACAAUUGGAGGUCCCACUGAGAUCGUGAAAGCGAGACUGCUCAGGGAAUAGUCCGUCUUCCUAGAAGUGUGGAGUUCAGUCUGGUGGCAGCUGUCUGCACUGGAUGCGCAUGCCUCUGUGCUUCUACUACUACUCUUCCGCGACACUACCAUACCUACAGCAACAGGCCUUUCAAAUUUAUUCUGGCAGUUUGGGCUCUUCAUUUUGUAUAUACGCAUUAAAAUUCACUUUUGAAGUUUCUUCAAAAACA